GUUAUAACUAAAUUAAAAAAGACGAAUCUGCUGAUUUCACGUCUAAAAGGUAUUUACUAUUUAUAGUUUAAUUCAUAUGAAAUUACCAAAAACUCCACAUAAACAAACUGAAACCCUGCCCAACUCUCUUGUGUCCCUAUAAAAGGACGUGAUAAGCAACGUAAGCAGGCGGCUGUCAUCUCCAAAGUUCCCAUCCUCUAAUUCAUCCGUCUCUUCAACCAUUACUCUCCUGGUUGUUUAAUUAGGAAUGGACAUGGUUGGUUGAUAUUCGCAUCGCAGGUUCCUUUAUGCUUACAUGGACCAUAACCAAUAUGGUGGCAACAAUAAGCUUGGAAUUGGGCAACAAAAAAUGUUAUUCUUGAAUCAGAUUCCCAACAGUACUGUUGCAAGCCUGCUCAGAUGAACUCGUCUAUCACCCUUGUUCCGUAUUGUUGCUUGAAGCCAUUAAAGAAAUUUUGCAGGGAAGAUGUGCUGUGUGAUGCAUAUGAACUUGUGCAGAUAUCUUAGCUAAAAUGGGUGCCUCUUAGCAUAGUGAUCUUCUGUUAUGGUCUUCAUCCCCAUCGAAGCUUGUACAGCUCUGUUUCGCUUUUGUACACAGUACCAAAAGAGUUGAUGUUGAGCUUUCCAUGGAUGGACCAGCUUGCCCAUAAUGGUGGCAAGGUGUGAAACAAAAUUACUUUUCAACAACAGAGAUUUCAGAAACAUAAUUGUAAAAUUAUUCCAUUCAAUUCAUGGCAUUUAAUUAACACGGCCUCAAUAUUUUUGUUUUAGCUUCC
This is a long non-coding RNA of Populus euphratica (Euphrates poplar), 776 nucleotides long. RefSeq lists it as uncharacterized. The transcript is spliced from 2 exons. The record is from RefSeq and is a predicted model, not a curated record. Lineage: Eukaryota; Viridiplantae; Streptophyta; Magnoliopsida; Malpighiales; Salicaceae.